This is a long non-coding RNA of Wasmannia auropunctata (little fire ant), 338 nucleotides long. RefSeq lists it as uncharacterized. Lineage: Eukaryota; Metazoa; Arthropoda; Insecta; Hymenoptera; Formicidae. The record is from RefSeq and is a predicted model, not a curated record. The transcript has 2 exons.
UUGAUAGAUGGAACUAUUCGUGUCGUCGAACAACCAUUUCCACUUAAAAAUGGUUACAUAGGUAUCAAUUCUUUUGGUUUUGGGGGGUCUAACGCUCAUGUGCUAUUAAAAUGGAAUCCAAAACAGAAAGUUAAUAAUAGUGCGCCAUAUGAUGAUUUGCCAAGACUUGUAAUAUUAUCUGGACGCACUAAAGAAUCAGUAAAAUUGUUUUUAAAUGACAUUGCUAAUCAUCAAAUAGAUGUAGAAUAUAUCCGUUUACUACACGAUAUUCACUCAGACAAUAUAGAUGGUCAUCCGUGGAGAGGGUAUAUUAUACUGAAUACUUCACAACAAGAAUU